UUAAAAGCUCGUAGUUGAAUUUCGGGAUCAAUAUGUUGGUCGUGCCUUGGUACGUACUAAUUUAUUGGUUUCUUCCUUCUGACGAACCAUGAUGUCAUUAAUUUGGUGUCUUGGGGAAUCAGGACUGUUACUUUGAAAAAAUUAGAGUGUUUAAAGCAGGCUCACGCUUGAAUACAUUAGCAUGGAAUAAUGAAAUAGGAUGUCUGAUUCUAUUUUGUUGGUUUCUAGGAUCGACGUAAUGAUUAAUAGGGAUAGUUGGGGG
This 262-nucleotide ribosomal RNA is filed under the name uncultured Glomeromycotina. RNAcentral describes it as "partial 18S ribosomal RNA". It matches the Rfam family "Eukaryotic small subunit ribosomal RNA", at positions 622 to 888 of the family's 1831-position model. Lineage: Eukaryota; Fungi; Glomeromycota. The record is from RNAcentral.